UACGUAGGAUGCAAGCGUUGUCCGGAUUUAUUGGGCGUAAAGAGAACGUAGGUGGUCCUUUAAGUUCGAUCUUAAAGACCGGGGCUCAACCUCGGGAAUGGAUUGAAAACUGGGGGACUAGAGGAUGUUAGAGGACGGUGGAAUUCCCAGUGUAGCGAUGAAAUGCGUAGAUAUUGGGAGGAACACCAGUGGCGAAAGCGGCCGUCUGGGACAUUCCUGACACUGAGGUUCGAAAGCUCGGGGAGCAAACAGG
This 253-nucleotide ribosomal RNA is filed under the name uncultured bacterium. RNAcentral's name for it is "partial 16S ribosomal RNA". It matches the Rfam family "Bacterial small subunit ribosomal RNA", at positions 524 to 776 of the family's 1533-position model. The record is from RNAcentral.